Molecule: long non-coding RNA, 3253 nt
Filed under: Apis mellifera (honey bee)
Lineage: Eukaryota; Metazoa; Arthropoda; Insecta; Hymenoptera; Apidae
Description: uncharacterized LOC107965634
Source: RNAcentral
UAUAAUCGUGUUUAUUUCGCAAUGGUUGCACGGCGCUGAGAAUAGAACGCGUGGCAUACAAACGACGCUGAAACAUCGUUAAACAGACGUCGCACGUAUCCGCGUCGCGGUGCAAAGUCCGACCGUAAUUCGAAUUAAUAGAAACGGGGGGAGCCGCCUUAAAGUUAAAAGCCACCCCUCCCUCCUCCCUCGUAGCUGGAAAAACAUAGCGUGUUCCACGAAAACGGGCCGCGACGGUGUAGCUGUUACGAACGGCGUCACGAAAUUUUCCCCGUUCGAUUCGACGACAAGUAAAUUAACGAACACACAAAGUUAGGGAAAAAAGAAAACGAUAGAUUUUUCAUGGAUUCAUCCCUUCCGCAACGACAAUAUAAAUUUUAUCUCUUUUUGUUUUUCGAUAUUCGAAACUCGUCGACGAUAAUAAAAAUUGUUUCUCGCGAUCGUAAAACGUAAAGUUCUCGAGCGAAAAAAGCACGGUUAAUUAAACCAGAGGUUUCUGUCGUCGAAACUUUCUCCCCGCGGAUUUCUGCCUUAUCACGGCGGGCAGAAAGACGUUUAAAAAGAAAGAAAGAAAGAAAAAAAGAGGAUACGGAAUGCAAAGUAGGAGAAAAUGUUCCCGCAUCCGAUGUUGCCGCUGGUAUCUGGCAAACGAGGCGCAGAACCACUCUCCUCGUGGUGAUCGACGUUCCCACGAUGGUUCUCAAUAUAGUCGAGUUCACUCGAGCCUCCCUGUGAAAAGAUAGAGGGUGGCCUGAUAGUCGGAUCACGAAGUGGACUAGGAUUCGAAUAGAUGGUAGAGACGGUUGAGAAUCGGGGAUGGUGAUUUUUGGCGGAUAUCCAGCCAAGAUGGGACGCGUCUUGCCCUUGUUGCCUCGCCCGCAGCCCGACGACAAGGAGAAUCUUUCAUGAUUUGACAGCGCGACCGAAAGAAACGACUCGAAAGUGCUACGAGAUAGUAAUAGCGGUAGUAGUAAUAGUAGUAGUAGUGGUGGUGGUACUUAUAAAAGUUAUUCUCCUCCUUCGAUUUCUCGAGAAUAAAGUAUCUAUUCGGUCACGUUAACGUUCCUCGAAAUAAUUCGUCGCGUUACUCGAUCGUCGUUCGAUUGGAAGCACAGAUUAUUCGAGAAUAUCGAUUAUUAGAUUAUCAUUAUAUUCGAUCGAUGGUGUAAUAUAUUAUCAUUGAUUGGAAAUGAUCUAAGAUGACGAAUUAAAGUUAAUAAUUUUCGUUUAUAGAUAAACGAAGAAAGAUAAAAGAUAGAAAAAGAUGAAGAAUCGUUGAUUAAGAACGACUCUUGACGCUCGUUAACGCGUCAAAAAAGAUAUGGCCAGCAUCCAGCAAGAGCAAAGCUUGUAUCGAUAUUUCUGUGCCAAAAGACUUGUGGAUCCAUCGGUGGUAGGUGAGGGAGGAUGAGGUCUGCCCCGGGACGAGCGUCGUUACGUGUCGAUCAGAGGAACACGAAGCUGAUUUCACGCUCCGUAUCGUCCGGCAAGGGUGCAGGAAUCUGGAUUGUCUGGUUACGGUUACGAUCGGUUAGGCCUUCGACCACGUGUGACAGCUCGACACCUUGGCCUUUUGCCCUUCCAUCUCGUUACGUAGCCGUGACAGUGGCAGGAUCGCAAUCGAAUCGAAUUCCGCAACUCGGGGGAGGGGGAGAGGUGGUUUGUGGUUCGGCUCGAAAGAUGGAUCGAUCGAAGAUUAAAUUAACGCGAUUCGAUCGAAAAUUACGAUCCUUUUUCUUUCCUAACCCGCUUUUCCCCAAUCUUCCUUCAAUUUCGUCUUCGUGCGUUCAAUUUAAAAAACGAAGCCGGACAAUUUACAUAUCUCGGUAUUUUUACUUCUGAAACUUUCACCUGUCCGUCAGAUUUCUGGUAUAAUCUCGAUGUCCUUGAACUUUUCGCUCCAAUGCAUGAAUUAGUUCGUUCCUCUUAAUUUUAACACUGAAUUAAUCCCACCAAAUAUUAUAUUAUAGAGGAAACUGGGAGAAGAGUUCUUUUCUUCUUCUUCUUUUUCCUCCUCCUCCUCUGCGGUUAAAUUACACGUCAAUCGCGGCGAGAAGUUCCAUCCCCGUGAAAUAAGAAUCGAAAAUUGUUACGAAAUAUAGAUUUCCUUAACUUCGAAAUCGAAAGGUUGGAAACCGAGGCCACGCAAUUUUCUCAAACGACGAAACUUUUCAAUUUCGGUCCAUCUCUCCUCCCCUCCGAUAUUUCCAGAUUUCAUCCCGCGGAAUCGGCGAGAGGAAGAGGAGGGAUAGGAGCGGUGGUGGAGGGGAAAACUUGUUUCGCAAAAAUAAAAUUUUUCGUAUUAUACUCCCUUCCUCUUCCUCUCCCCAUCCCCUCGCGAUGGAAGCGAGUAAAAAUUACGAAAAAGUAGGUGACCCCCGAAGUGCAGGGGGAUACACACAAUCUUGGAAAAAUGUCCGGAAAUCGUAUUCAAAAGGUAUUCGUAUGUGGGCCAUGAACGAGCCCCAGGGAGUAUGUCAGAAUUCUCGUUUCGUAAGUGAAUGGCGUCCUUUCCAAUAAGAAAGUGGUCCCGAUACCAGAUUUUUCUUGCGGUAAUAAUAUCUCGAUUUUUGGAAACUGUUACAAACAGCGUUUUUAAUCGAUCGAACUUAUUUCCCUCCAUUCUUUCCUCUUUCAAGCAAAGUCGAAUUUAUAUUCUUACAUGCGUGAUAAAUCUGAUUGUAUAAUCUAUCUAUAAAACAUUAGAGGAAAUAGAAUUGGAAAUUUUUCUUUACGAUUUUGAGUAAGAGAUGAUUUAAAAUUUGUAAAAUUUCUUUUGCACGUGUAUUCGUGAAAGAAUGAAUGUUAAUGUUCCUGAAAGAAUGUUUAAAGUUUGCAUAUAAAUACCCGUAGUUUAUUAAAUGAAAUUUUACAAUACGUUUUUUUCUUUUAUAAGUGCGUUAAAUUUGCAGAUUCGUUUGUAGCGCUUUCCUUCUCGUUACAUAAAUCGCUAAUAUUUGCCUCUCCACUUAUCUCUUUUCAUUUGGAAAAGAAAUGUCGUAACAGAGAAGCGAUAAGCGAAGAGGAAUACUUGUUUAUCGCGUAACGGGUUGGGCGAAACUUGCAAGAUCUCGUUCGAAUUGAAACAAAACCGUGAGAAGAGGGAAAACGUGUUUGAUUUAGACAGAUGUAAACGCGAUACGUGUUUAAUUAUCGGAUUUGGAGAUUGAGAAAUUGUGAAAUAUUUCCAUCCGUAUAUUAUCAUAGAAUAGACAACAUAAUAAAUCUACUUCGUCGCUUAUAUUUUAUGAUU